GGGGGUGUUCCUUCGCGGCCGCUGAGGUGCGGGGCCUGAGCCCACCCGUGACGGGCUACGCGGCCAAGACUUGUUUGUGACAGGCUGUGGGGCGCCCCCUUGUCCCUUGUGAUACAGGGCCGGGUGCCCCCAUGUUUGGCUCACAGGGCUGCACAGGUGGAAGCAACUGGCUGAGAUCCCCGGGAUGCUGCGCUGGGGAGAGCCUAUCCUGAGAUCUUCAUAAAUUUCUGGUCAGUGUUUUCUCCAAAGAGUACAAGACACCAGGAUGAUGGGAUGCAGCCAAGGUCGGAGUAACAGGGAUUGAUUGUAGGAAGCCCCAGUGGGAUGCUCCUGGUGGGCUGGGGGAAGUGUUAGCACUGCUGUCAGCUAGUUUGGUGGGACCACAUCAGGAAUAAUGGGGAUGCUCUGGCCGUUCUUUCUGAAGACCGGCGAAGUCAAGCAGGAGCAGGUAUAAAGGAGCACACAGAGGAUUCAGAGGUGCAAAGAUUCCAUCACAGUGAGUUUGGCUUCGCAAAAUCAAGGCCGAGAAAUGAUGUGCUGCAUGUAUAUUGGAGCGGAAAUGGUAGGGAGAAGGACCAUUUAAAGUAAGCAGAUGUUGGUACAAGGACAGCUAAUUAUGGGCUGGCCAUGAACUUGGGAGGCUGGUGACAAGCAGAAGGCUCCUGCAUGUUAGAGCAGAAAGGUGCUGGUCCCUUCCAGUGGUUAUGGAGCAGGGAAGCGCCAGGGCUGCUUUCAAGCAAAGCUGAGCAGUAGUGAUUAUUUGAUGCUCAGAGGCUGGAUGCAGGAGCGUGGGAUUUCUUGCUAGUCUUAUUUAUGAUGGUCUGUCUACCUUUUGUUGGGGCUAGGAGCUCAAAGAUAGCCAAGAUAUUUCAGAAGAGGAUUAGGGUCUGUUUCCCGCAAAGCCUUCCUCCACCUCUAUAAGCUAUUUGUUCUCCUGGUACACAGACUCGUGCUCGUUUAAGUGCUGCCUGGCACGCAAAUGUUUUUCUGAACUGCGGCAGAAGCCUUUUGCUGAGAAGAGCCACGUGGUGGAAGUUAACUUUGUAUUUAGGAGCUGGUGGCAUCUGACACAGCUCUUACAAAGCUGGCUGGUUUCCGUGCAAAACGAAGGCAGGCUGUACUGGGAAAGGUGAUCCUGGAAACACUUGUAUUUGUUUUCAUUUUUCCUCAUGCUUAGAGCAUAUUACUUCUCUUGCUGACAUACCUGUGGCAAGCAGAGGUUACGGGAGUUAUUAAAGUAGCAAUGGAAAAGGAUAUUCGAAACGGGCACGAUUUUGCUCUCCUCCCAUGAAGAGUAUUGUCCUUGGCUGAGACAGGAUGAACAGAUUGAGGUCAUGGUUGGCAUAAAAUGAGCAGGAUCUGUCCCAUCACUUGCACAAGGCAUUCUUUAUGGGCAGGAGGGGAGACAGCCAAAAAUAAAGGGCUUUUACUGACUCUUGACACCUUGCCUCUACCUCGCUCUGCUGCCUGUCAGGCAGCUCCUGCUCCUCUCCGCCAGACUCUAAGCUUUCUGGUUUGGACCUGAAAGUCCUUGUAGUUAGAGCACGCACCGUCCCUGGGUAGUUCUCUCUCCACCUCUUGUUCUCAGCCCCUCGACCCCCUCAAACAGGUACAAAGGAUGGACAUCAUUGCCUGACCGAGGUCCGUAAGAGCCUACUGCCUCCAAGAUUCCAGUUUUUUGGGGUGAGGUGCUGUCCCCUGGACAACAAACAUCAUCUGUGUGGCUUGGCAUGUGUCAUUCCUUCCUUGCGCCCUCCUCCACCUCCAGACUUGGGAGAAAAUACUCUUGGUGGUGCCUAGAGAGCUGUCUUUGAAAGUCAGGCCACGAAAGAGCUGGUGAAUUGCUUUUCUGCCCAAGGCAAGUGAAGUGUUCCCGGCAGGGUAAUCAAUCUCCCUGAGAGCUCCCCCAGCAGAAGGUGAUCGCCCUGACUUUACGGAGUGUGUGGUGUCUCCCCUCUAAUGGCCACAAGUCCCCCCUCCCAGCCAGCAGCACGCAGCAGCUCACCCCUGGGAUGGCGUAUGUAGGUGUGUUUUUAAGGUGGUAAAAUGCUUUGUGAAGGAAAGCGCUGGUCAUUACGUGUGCCAACAGGAGAGCUCCCAGCUGUUCAGCUUCCUUGGCAUAAAAUCACAGCAGCAGGUAAAUCCUGGAGAAAUAAAACGAACCCAAUCAAAUUAGCCCAGGACCAUGUACAGGAGGUGGGCAAUGUUUUCGCGGUGUUUCUUCCUCUCUUGCAGGUGCCAAAUCAUUGCGGGUCAUUUCAGCUUGCCGCGGUUCAAACCAGCAGCUCUUUGAUGGUCUCGCAGUACCAUGUUACUCUUGUGUUUCCUGAAAUGCCUGUCAGGAAGCUUCAUACACUUCAGGUCAGACGCUCUUUCCCUGAAGAAGAAAAGGAUAUUUAUAGCCGGGUAGGACCAUAACGGGGAAAUCUCCAGGCUGCAGUACCUGUCAGAUGAGGUUACUUAUGGCCCCAAUAGUAACAGCCAACCUGGAACCCACUCCAGGGAAGCAAAAAGGGGGAGAAAGAUAAUCAAGUUUCCUGAACUUGGCCCGAAGUCAGAUGUGAUUUGAUUUGGAUUGCAGACAGCCCGGGGAAGUGACUCGGAGGCAACUCGGAGAGUUGGACUUGGUUUCUUGCCUCGCAGAGGAGAAACCCUGACGCUGUGUUCGCGUUCCCAUGGCUGGGGGUGAUCUCCGGUCUGUCUCAGCAGCCUGGAGCCUGCGUGGAUCCUCCCAGAGUCUUCUCCAACCACUUGAGACCUUGGGUGCUGGAUGAGGAAGCACAGGUGAUGACAGAAGAGCGAUGAUGCUGGGCUACACCAUGGUUCUACACCAGAAACAUCUGUGCUCGGAGAGGUGGAGGACACCACAAACCCAUGAGGCAGUGGCCUCAAGAGUUCACCGUAUGGAGGGGAGCACUCUCUAGAAAGACCCUGCCUGGGUUUAACUCAGCUGAGGCCACUGGAGCACAGCACAGAUGGGGGGGAAUAAAAUGUCAGCUUGCGAAUGGACUAUCAGAGACCAAGGCAAGGACCAACCGCUGCUUCGUCUUUGCGAGCAGAUACCCACAUACAAAUAGCCACCGUGCUCUACGCUUGAUGCAUUGUCUUCCUACAGACACAGGGUAAACUCUGCUCCUCCCUUCUGGCCUGGGUUGCAAUGAUGGAUUAAGUAGGGCACAGUAGCAGGAGUCUUUGUGGGAACAGUACAUUCGAAGUGAACCCACGCACCGGGCUGGCGGGUUUGCUUGUUGAAGGGAUUGCUGGUGAUGGGGGAUUUCUCCAGCCAGGGCGUCUGAACUGAGCAAUGACAAGCUGCCCUGUUUAGCCCCAUGAAGAGCCCAGCCUGGAUGGAGCUGCGAUGUCUCCUUCAGGAAGCCAGGAUGGUGGCCGGAAAGAGCUGGAGAUGGCAAGAGGGAGAGUGGACAGGAGAAAGAAGAGUGACUCAGGCAUUGCAUCAGCCUCACCUUUGCUCCCUGCUGCGAAUAAAGAACAGACACUUGAUAGCAGCAAGUGCCGGUGCAUCUGGAAGUACAGCGAGAAGUGGGAUGCAGGGAGGAGACCACCUACUCGUUCUCAAAACAGACUGACCCAGGGGUCUCUUUCCUCGUGGUUUCCACCAGCUCAAGCUGGUGUCACCAUGUCUCAGUUGUCUCAGUGGCUGGGGAGGCCGAAUCCCUUCCCUGUGCGCAAGCUGGGAUCCGUCUUGUGUCGGCUGAAUGCGAUCUGCUGCCUCCAGCCCCUCGGAGCCCCUGCCUGCCUCUCGCUAGCCCAGCCUGGAUUUGGCAUUCACCGUCACGUGCCUCCUUUCUGCAUUCAUGGAAAGUGUCAGCCUGGCAUUUCCCGCUCAGCUCCUAGGGACAAAGCAGGUCAUGACUUAUGCGUUUUAUCAUUAAAAAGAUAAUUUCCUCUAGAUGUGUGCAAUAAGACAAUGGCACUGACCUGUGAUCCUGGCAUUGCGCAGCGUUAAUGAUUUCCCUUUGCAGGUAAUAAGCAGCAAAUGUACACAUUUUGGGGAGAUCUGAAUUAUUUUUUUUCCUUUUAAGACUGCUGUCUUCCUAGGCCAGACUUAAUUAGCAGACCUCAUUAUUUCCUCAAAUGUAACUUGACUUCCAUUGAAUGAGAAUUGUUCAGUGGAUGGGGAGCAGCAGAGCGGUGCUGCAAUAUUCAUAUUGUUUUAAUUGCAACAUUAACAUUUCAUGCUGCUCUUGGCAUACUUUCAGGUGCGGCCCUUUAGCUCAAUGCAAUGCUGUGAAAGGUUGGAUCAGAACAAUUAGGACAGAGUGACUGGAUUUCUGGAUUAUUUUUUUUUUUUUCUUUUAAAUGAAUGCAAGCCUGGAUUCAAUCCCCAUCAGUCCUUUUGCUGGGCAGAACAGGGAGUCAAGCACCCCUGAAGUGUAAAUCCUGUUUUUGGAAUAAAGGAUGUGCUGUAGUGCAUGUUUAAAUUCUCUUUUUGUGAAGCUGAAGCCCCGCAGGUACAAGUGAUACGUGAUCCACCAGGCUGAUGGCACCUCCUGGGACUUGACCUUUACCGGGUGAAUCGGAGAAGUCCCAAAAUGCGUCUGGCCACC
Molecule: long non-coding RNA, 4568 nt
Organism: Grus americana (Whooping crane)
Lineage: Eukaryota; Metazoa; Chordata; Aves; Gruiformes; Gruidae
Exons: 13
Source: RefSeq, a predicted model, not a curated record